CAUAGGACCUGCAUAGAAGCC
Molecule: microRNA, 21 nt
Filed under: Lotus japonicus
Lineage: Eukaryota; Viridiplantae; Streptophyta; Magnoliopsida; Fabales; Fabaceae
Description: lja-miR11099-5p
Source: miRBase by way of RNAcentral